This 497-nucleotide ribosomal RNA is filed under the name uncultured bacterium. Its description in RNAcentral is "partial 16S ribosomal RNA". It matches the Rfam family "Bacterial small subunit ribosomal RNA", at positions 28 to 507 of the family's 1533-position model. The record is from RNAcentral.
GACGAACGCUGGCGGCGUGCCUAAUACAUGCAAGUUGAGCGCUGAAGGUUGGUCCUUGUACCAACUGGAUGAGCAGCGAACGGGUGAGUAACGCGUGGGGAAUCUGCCUUUGAGCGGGGGACAACAUUUGGAAACGAAUGCUAAUACCGCAUAAAAACUUUAAACACAAGUUUUAAGUUUGAAAGAUGCAAUUGCAUCACUCAAAGAUGAUCCCGCGUUGUAUUAGCUAGUUGGUGAGGUAAAGGCUCACCAAGGCGAUGAUACAUAGCCGACCUGAGAGGGUGAUCGGCCACAUUGGGACUGAGACACGGCCCAAACUCCUACGGGAGGCAGCAGUAGGGAAUCUUCGGCAAUGGACGAAAGUCUGACCGAGCAACGCCGCGUGAGUGAAGAAGGGUUUCGGAUCGUAAAACUCUGUUGGUAGAGAAGAACGUUGGUGAGAGUGGAAAGCUCAUCAAGUGACGGUAACUAUCCAGAAAGGGACGGCUAACUACGUG